Sarcophilus harrisii (Tasmanian devil) is the source of this 2305-nucleotide long non-coding RNA. RefSeq lists it as uncharacterized. The record is from RefSeq and is a predicted model, not a curated record. The transcript has 3 exons. Lineage: Eukaryota; Metazoa; Chordata; Mammalia; Dasyuromorphia; Dasyuridae.
GGGAAGGCUUUCAGACAUUCCGGGUGACCAACAACUAUUUUUCUCUGUCUUAGGGUUUCCCUUCGUCUUAUUCCUUGCUGGAACAGAGUUCUUGUCUUUAGAGGAGAACAUCAUAUUUAAGUGGGAUUUCAGAGAGCCCAUGAAAGCUGAUGAGAAUGCAGAGAAAAAAAACACAAGAAAAACAGAACCUUGACAGUAUAUUUGGAGUUAGCAUGACUGGAUGAACAACAGAUUGAAGAAUCAGAAAACAGCAGUGUCUACUUUUUAUUCUCUCUUAAUCAUUGAGGUCCAAGGUGCUACCCUUCCCAGCAGAAGGAAUGAAAAGACAGCAAAUGCAAAGUGGGAGAGGAAUAAGAUUCCUGUGAGGGAGGAGCGGAAGAAAACAGAAGUGCACUAGAGGUCGGGGAAGCAUGCAGCUAAAGACCAGACCAUUCCCCAGGGACCCGCCCCCCUCCCCUCCUGCCUUCCCCCAGCUUGUAUUUGUCUUGGCUGGGUUCUGGAUGACUCAUCUGCUAUAGAGUUGCUGAUAGGGACAGCCAGGGCCGGGAAACCCAAAUUAUAGGCUCUCUGUGAACUCAGCUCUCUCUCCUUCCCAUUGCUCUUCAACUCUCAGAGCUCUGAUAUAGGCUGCCACCAGAGGGCAAUAAAGAACGCAGGCUGCAAAAAGCUUUGACGUUUGUCCUACCUCAAGGUCACUAGGGCAGAGACUCCAUAAAGUGAAUUCUUUAUAUUAAGUAUUAAUGGUACCUACCUACAGGCCUUACAGAAGAAAUACAAGACAUUCAUAGCUGAAAAGUUAAUGGAACUUCAGGUUUGAAAUUCCCAAGGCACUUACUCAAUUUUGCUCCCACUUUUAAAAAAAUUGUAUUUCUUGCUGCAGAGCCAACAUAAUUAUUCAUUUAGCAAAGGAUCUCUUGCUCAGUUCUGGGUCAUAAUAGUUUUAUUGGCAUUUCUAUAAGUGUAGAAUAAGGAAGUCUUUAAUGUUUGUAUCAUAUUUUAAACUAAAAGAGAGAGAUAGCUAAGAGAUCAGGAUUGAUUUUGCCUGAUCCACUGUGAGUUACCAGAGCCUAAACUCAAUAGAUUCUUCUUUCUCUUGAAAGAUACUUAAAUACAAUUGUGAUCUCAUCAAUUUGAAGAUUCCUUCUAGAGACACAGACUAAAAUGCACCAGUGCUUGACCAUCCUUAUUUGAUUUUUGUCCAUUUCCUCCAUAAGUUCAUCUCUUUUUUUUUCUGUUUUGAAUCUAUGUAAGAAUGCUUAAGUUUGCUGAAGUAUAUGAAAUUUUACAUAACAAAAAUUCACAGCCUCUACUUGAAAGACCUACAGUGAAAGGAACUCACUACUUCUAAAAGUAACCUUUUGGGGAUUGUUCUAAAUGUUAAGAAAUUUUUCUUAGACAGCAAGUCUAAAUUUGUCUCAUCAUAGCUCUAAGGAAGUUGGUCUUUCAUUGACUUAAUCACAGAAAAGGGGGCAGAGAAGUAAAAAUUAACUGUGAAAUGCAGUCACACAGCAGAUACUUUUUGGGGGUAUGAAUGACUUCCUGGACUCAGUGAAAAAGAGAGCAACUACAUAGGAUGCAGAAUGAUAGACUAUCAUUACCCAAAUGAUAAAUGGCGAAAAGAUAUGAAUAGGCAAUUAUAGUAAAAAAAAAUCUAAGUUAUCAAUAGCCAUAUGAAAAGUGCUCCAAGUUACUAAUAAUUGUAUAAGUACAAAUGAAAAUAAUUCUGAGGUCUACUUCAGACUCAUCAGAUUGGGAAAAAAAAGACAAAUACUGGAGGAACUAUGGGAAAAUAGGCACAUUUAUGCAUUAUUAGUGGAACUAUGAACUCAGCGAUUCUGAAAAACAAUUACUCCCCUCCCUCCCAACUACUAAAUUAAACUCACUGAAACCACUAUCUAUAUGCCUCUUUGGUCAAAAAGGACCAGUUUGUACAAAAAUAUGUAUUGUGCUUCUUUUGUGAUGGCAAAGAACUGGAAAUUGAGGGAAGCCUAUAAAAUGGAAAAUAGCUAAACAAGUUAUGAUAUAUUAAUGAGAUGGAAUACCAUGAUGUCAUAAGAAAUGAUAAUGGAAUGACUUCAAAAAACUUUAAGAGACUUAUAUGAACAAAUUAAGAGGGAAGUGAGCAGAACUGGGAGAACAAUGUAUUCAACAACAGCUAUACUGCAAAGACAGAUACUUUUGAAAGACUUAGAAACUCUGAUCAAAGGAUUCUAUCCACCUCUUGAGCAGUGAUGAAUUCAAUUACAGAUUGGAUUGUACAUUAUUUUUGAUGGUCAAUGAAGAAAUUUGUUUUGCUUGAUGAUAU